RNAcentral lists this ribosomal RNA (499 nucleotides) under uncultured Sphingobacteriales bacterium. Its description in RNAcentral is "bacterial SSU rRNA". It matches the Rfam family "Bacterial small subunit ribosomal RNA", at positions 904 to 1382 of the family's 1533-position model. The record is from RNAcentral. Lineage: Bacteria; Pseudomonadati; Bacteroidota; Sphingobacteriia; Sphingobacteriales.
CCUUGCCAGCCCGCUCAGAAACUUAAUGAAUUGACGGGGGCCCGCACAAGCGGUGGAGCAUGUGGUUUAAUUCGAUGAUACGCGAGGAACCUUACCUGGGCUCAAAUGUAUGUUGACGUAUUCUGAAAGGGAUACUUCUUCGGACAAUAUACAAGGUGCUGCAUGGUUGUCGUCAGCUCGUGCCGUGAGGUGUCGGGUUAAGUCCCAUAACGAGCGCAACCCCUAUCAUUAGUUGCCAUCAGGUCAAGCUGGGGACUCUAAUGAAACUGCCUACGCAAGUAGUGAGGAAGGUGGGGAUGACGUCAAAUCAGCACGGCCCUUACGUCCAGGGCUACACACGUGCUACAAUGGCCGGUACAAAGGGCAGCUACCUGGUGACAGGAUGCUAAUCUCAAAAGCCGGUCUCAGUUCGGAUCGGAGUCUGCAACCCGACUCCGUGAAGUUGGAAUCGCUAGUAAUCGCGCAUCAGCAUGGCGCGGUGAAUACGUUCCCGGGCCUU